This 301-nucleotide ribosomal RNA is filed under the name uncultured bacterium. RNAcentral's name for it is "partial 16S ribosomal RNA". It matches the Rfam family "Bacterial small subunit ribosomal RNA", at positions 509 to 807 of the family's 1533-position model. The record is from RNAcentral.
CAGCAGCCGCGGGAAUACGUAGGUGGCAAGCGUUGUCCGGAAUUAUUGGGCGUAAAGGGCUCGCAGGCGGUUUCUUAGGUCUGAUGUGAAAGCCCCCGGCUCAACCGGGGAGGGUCAUUGGAAACUGGGAAACUUGAGUGCAGAAGAGGAGAGUGGAAUUCCACGUGUAGCGGUGAAAUGCGUAGAGAUGUGGAGGAACACCAGUGGCGAAGGCGACUCUCUGGUCUGUAACUGACGCUGAGGAGCGAAAGCGUGGGGAGCGAACAGGAUUAGAUACCCCCGUAGUCCCUGUCUCUUAUAC